This 480-nucleotide long non-coding RNA is filed under the name Mytilus galloprovincialis (Mediterranean mussel). The record is from RNAcentral. Lineage: Eukaryota; Metazoa; Mollusca; Bivalvia; Mytilida; Mytilidae.
CGUGUAUAUUCAGUUAACACAAAAUCAAACAUACAAAGUGCACACAAUGACGAUUUAAAAUAAUGCACCAAUAAUAAAGGCACGAUAAAUGGGCAAACAAUUAAAUAUAUCAUGCAUAUACCAAGAUCACACGGAAUUAUUUAAAAGUAAGUUAAAGAUAUUUCAACUGUAAGCGCCGUUAUUUAAGAUGUGCUACGUUUGAUCUUUGCAGCAACAGUGAUAAUGUUCUUUACCAUCCUUAUAACUUAUAAACAGUCUCGCUGCUGCUGUUUUGUCCUCUGGUCUCACCUUUUCACAUAUUCUUCUGUAUGCUAGUUAUAUUUGACCGAAUAAUUAUUUUUUUGAAACGGUAAACGUACGGGAUUAAGACACAUACAAAUGUGUAUUAAAUAUGCCAUACUCUAAAUUGCUCCGAAUGAAAAAAAGGUGGUGUAUCACCCACCAAUCCUAUGUGUAUAUAUCGAUUAGUCAUCCAGAAAG